Molecule: long non-coding RNA, 770 nt
Filed under: Rattus norvegicus (Norway rat)
Lineage: Eukaryota; Metazoa; Chordata; Mammalia; Rodentia; Muridae
Description: long non-coding RNA NONRATT010276
Source: RNAcentral
GUAGGCAGGCUGUGUGGUGUUUGCAUUUCUAUCCGUCGCGAAUCGCGCUGUUCUUCAGCCAUCCGGCCUCGGCGACCCUGCGGCCUUGGAGCUUCUGCCUCGCACGAGCGUCUAGUCAGGAUACGGGGUGGAGGGGGCGCGGAUACGCAGCCAUCCGGGAGGCUUGAGAGACGCCUUGGCGGCAAGAUCCGAGCUGGGCCCGGGACUGAAGGAGGCGUGGGGUGGAAGCUGCCGCUGCUCAGGCCGCCCGGGUGGGACGAAGCUCUCCCGGUCUUACUCGCGGUGGCGGUUACAAUCCUGGUGGCUUCCCGGAGCCUGGGGCAGUCAGUCCCGCCUAGCCGGCCCUGCGCCCUGCUGCUAGUACAGAAGCCUCCUCAUUCCCGGUGGACGGUGGGGCGUCAGGACGCAUGGACCGGCCCUAGUCACUGUCACGACGAUCACUCUUUCGAUUUGCUUCUUCCUUUCAAAGGUGAGCCAAGAUGGGUGCAUACAAAUACAUCCAGGAGCUGUGGAGGAAGAAGCAGUCCGACGUGAUGCGCUUCCUUCUAAGGGUCCGCUGCUGGCAGUACCGCCAGCUCUCUGCGCUGCACAGGGCUCCCCGCCCCACCCGGCCUGAUAAGGCGCGAAGGCUGGGAUACAAGGCUAAGCAAGGUGGGUGAGAUCACAUUGUGGGUGAUCGAUACGACACUAUCCCGGAAAAGCCUGUGAGCAUCAGUUUGGAACCUCCCCCACACACACCCAAAAAGACCUGGUUAAUUUAGCCAUGCCAA